CGCAAUUCUGGCAGUAACUUACUUUAAACCCUGCAACAAUCUACUGUAUAUGAGUAUACAGUACACUACUGGGCAGAGCAAAGUAUUGUGGGUAAUAAACGGAUACUUAUGUACAGUACUGAUGUACUGUAAAUUAAUUUACAGUAGUACAAUCCCCGGGAAAAAAUUGACCAACCACAACGUUGCUCUAUUUGAAAUUUUCUGACAAAGCCGCCAUCUUUGUGCUGCAGGAAAGCCGUUUGAGAUAUUGGUGAAUUUCAAACACUUUGUGAGAUGACAGAAUAUUGCUGAAGGAUCCUACAUGGAAGCUGUCUGAUUACACGGAGUGAUUCCUCUGGUGUGGUGUACCUCAGAGAAAUAAACACUGUUGCAAGAGCUGAGAAGAUGGCCAAGAUAUCCUUAUUGCUGGAUGGUAGCUCUGGUCGUAGUGGACCAUAUCUGCAAAUGCUUCUGAACAUUGACAGAAUUUCUAAAGAUGACUGAGAACAUUACUGAAGGAUCCUACAUGGAAGCUGUCUGAUUACACUGAGUGAUUCCUCUGGUGUGGUGUACCUCAGAGAAAAUAAACACUGUUGCAAGAGGUCACUGCUACUGCAGCAGAUGUCGCAAGUCUUUCUCUGCCCAACGCCCCAAGGCUGUUUGCACUUGGUUCAUUCUCAGAAUAAACCCAGAGGGCUCCAAAUGCCAGGCCAAGUCCAUCACCAGCAAGAAGACCGGUAAAAAGGUGCAAAGGAAGAGCAGCAGUGUCAACCCUAUUGUUGCUUCAUUCAUCAGGGAACUUGUUGAUUUUGACUGGCUGAAUUAUUAAUGCUUGACCUUUUGAAGUUCCAAUCACUUGUUUCUUUUAAGUAGUUCAGUCCGAGCAUUGCACCAAAGGCUCGAGGCCCUGUUGUUCUUGCUGUGUUUUCCCCCCUUCUCCCCGUUUCAAAACUUAUUUGGCACAGUUUUUCGAUAUUGUGUCAUGUAUAAGACUUUUAAAAGAGUGACUCUAUUGCGCACCCUAGCACAGAGAUGUUCGGGGCUGGAAUAUAGUUAUAGUUAUAGAAUAUAGUUGAAGCUACGGACUCUGGACCUUCUUUGUGGUAUGUACUUAUCUCAUUAAGAUGAACAAAAAAAGGUCAAUACGAGCAUAUGGCCACGCCCAACAGGAAAUGAGAUAUUGGACUGUUUUCCAUUUUGCAUACAUUGGAAUUUGAAGCACCCACCACAAACCAUACAACAGUUUCUUGGUUAAUGUUUGGGGUAUCUCAUUUUAAUAGAAUAGAAUCUUUUUAUUUGUCAAUGUGAAUGAAAUAAAAAAAAGAAAAAUAUGUAUACAACUGAAGAGUU
Engraulis encrasicolus (European anchovy) is the source of this 1329-nucleotide long non-coding RNA. RefSeq lists it as uncharacterized. The record is from RefSeq and is a predicted model, not a curated record. The transcript is spliced from 6 exons. NCBI's taxonomy places the organism in Eukaryota, Metazoa, Chordata, Actinopteri, Clupeiformes, Engraulidae.